Molecule: signal recognition particle RNA, 274 nt
Filed under: Candidatus Woesearchaeota archaeon
Lineage: Archaea; Nanobdellati; Candidatus Woesearchaeota
Description: signal recognition particle sRNA
Rfam family: Archaeal signal recognition particle RNA
Source: RNAcentral
AGGCGUGCUAGUCUGGGUGGCCAGCCCUCACCUCUGAACCAAAUGGGCUUUAUGGGUUAGACGAAGCCUGGAGGGCGGCAGAAGGCUUGUGUAUCAGUCUUACAUGGACUGUCGAUCCUUUGUCCUCAUUGACUUUUACUUUAUCAGAAUGAGUCAGGCCUUGAUCGGAGCAGCUCACCGGUAUUGUAGAGGUGCUUUGAGGGUCGCGGAGGGGAGGAAGAUGUAAGGUUCACUGAUGUGCUUUUCGUCUGUCCACCUCUGGGCAUGCACACUU